RNAcentral lists this ribosomal RNA (880 nucleotides) under Anastrepha bahiensis. RNAcentral describes it as "partial 16S ribosomal RNA". Lineage: Eukaryota; Metazoa; Arthropoda; Insecta; Diptera; Tephritidae. The record is from RNAcentral.
UAGUUUUUUUAGAAAUAAAUUUAAUUUACAAAUUUUUAAUUUUUAAUUUAUUUUUUUUAAUUUAAAAAAUUAUUAAUUUGAAUAUUUUAAGGGAUAAGCUUUAAAAUAAAAUAUUAAAAAUCAUUGAAUAAUUUAUUUAAAAUGUAUGCAUAGAAUUAGCAAUCAUUUAUAAGUUUGUUAUAAAUUAUUUUAUAAUUUAUAUUAUUUAAUUUUGUUUUCAUUGAAUUUAUAAAAAUUUUUUUAUUAAUUUUAAAAUAAAAAGUAAUAAUGAUCAAAUUAGUAUAUUUAAUUAUAUUGUUAAAAUAUUUUAUGUUGAAAAGUUUAUAUAAAGAACUCGGCAAAUUUAUUUAUACUCGCCUGUUUAACAAAAACAUGUCUUUUUGAAUUAAAUUUAAAGUCUGACCUGCCCACUGAAUAAUUUUAAAUGGCCGCAGUAUUUUGACUGUGCAAAGGUAGCAUAAUCAUUAGUCUUUUAAUUGGAGGCUGGUAUGAACGGUUGGACGAAGUAUAAACUGUUUCAUAUUAAUUUAUAAUAGAAUUUUAUAUUUUAGUUAAAAAGCUAAAAUUUUAUUAAAAGACGAGAAGACCCUAUAAAUCUUUAUAUUUAAUAUAAACUAAAUUUUUUUGAUUUAUUUUAUUUUUUUUAUAUUAAUUAUUUUGUUGGGGUGAUAUUAAAAUUUAAUGAACUUUUAAUUUUUUAAAAUCAUUAAUUUAUGAAUUAUUGAUCCAUUAAUAUUGAUUAUAAGAUUAAGUUACUUUAGGGAUAACAGCGUAAUUUUUUUUGAGAGUUCAUAUCGACAAAAAAGUUUGCGACCUCGAUGUUGGAUUAAGGUAUAAUUUUGGGUGUAGCCGUUCAAAAAUUAAGUCUGUUCGACUUUUA